UUCUUUGUGGCGCAGUGGCAGCGCGCCGGGCCCAUGAGCCGGAGGCCCCUCGAUCGAAACGAGGCUUAGGAA
This is a non-coding RNA of Pyronema domesticum, 72 nucleotides long. The record is from the annotation of a GenBank genome assembly. NCBI's taxonomy places the organism in Eukaryota, Fungi, Ascomycota, Pezizomycetes, Pezizales, Pyronemataceae.